CUUUAUUUUUCUAUAUGAAGUCAAAAAUAUAUAAUGAAAAUAUUAUAUAACAAAUACAUACAAAAAGCUUUCAACAAUUGCUAAAACAAUCUGGUUAUUUAAAGGGCAAAACAUUCCAUAGGACCUUAAGACAAUGAAUUACAAAUCUAUAUGUUAUGUAUACGCGUAAUGCAACCUGGAUUGAAAAGUUAAAACUUAAAAGUUAAAACAAAUGGAAUAUUUCAGAGUAAAACUAACGGUAUUUUUUUCAUUAGAACUACAUAUAUUACCACUAAACCAAAUGUGUUAAUAUUAAUAUGUAUCUUUUAAAUAAUGAGGAGAAAUAUACGGCACGCUAAUGGGAAAAUUUUGUUAUGCAUUGCAAAGGACAAUUUCUUGAGACUUUCCAAAUAUAAUUGUGAAAAGUUAAAAAAAAAAAUAAGACAAGAGUCUUGAAUUUCAAUUUUCUACUUGUCAUUAAACUAAAAUGUCAUAGGGAAUGUUUGGAGAGAACAAUAAAUAUUAACAUGUAAGAAAAAAAUCCAAAUAGGGGUAAAAUAUGAAUCUUUUAAAAUGAUAGUAAUAGAGAAAAAUACUGUCAGGCAAUUUUUCAGAGAACUACUAAAAGUAACUCACGAAGAGUAUAAGUGAAAUGUGAAACAUAAUAACAGCAAACAUCCAUACAUUCUGAAUUUGCAGUACAUCAAAAUGUCAGCAAUGGUGCCUAAAUGGGGAGAGACUUAAAUUCUGUUCCAUGAGCCAAUGCUCUGUGUUGAAGGCUAUACUUUGACCUAUAACUUUUUACACAUUGUAGCUUGGUUGCAGAGUUGUCUCAUUAGCACCCAUCCCACAUCUUCUUAUUUCUGUGCAAGAACUAUAGAAUCAAAUGCAAAUUUAAAAUCUGGCCAAAUGCUGUUUUGAUAUUUAUCUUUUAAAUCAAAAAAAGAUAUAAUAAAGGUUACUGGAAGUAUUUUCACUUCAAUACUUAAGAAAAUUCCUGAGGAUUAAUAAAGUGUAAGAUAAUGGAUAUGUUAUUAAUGGAUAUCUUUACUUCUGAAAAUUGGUUGUGGUAUAAUGAUAAUGUUUGUGAAACACAAUAACAUACCCUUCAUCCAUCUGUGAAAAAAUAAAUUUUUGUGUGUGCUAAUAUUCCUUGAUGUCAUGGUACUAUCAAAUCACAAAUUUAUACUAUUUCUUUUUAUAGAUAUUCAUUUAUUUAGCUGUUCUUUUUUUAGUACAAAUACAAUCCUUUCAUAAUCAACAAAAUACUAAAUAUAAUACAAUCUGAAACAAAGUACCACCAACAAUAACCGGCGUUUUCACACCAUGAUCAAGUGCAAAACAUAACAUUCAGUAUUUUUACAAAGCUUUUAUCAAAAGUAAUAAGCUUUAAGCCUGUCUGGAAUUUUAUUAACAAAACAAUAAUUGUUUCUGGAUAUUUACUAUCAAACAUUCAGAAACCAGGUGCUCCGCAGGGCGCAGCUUUAUACGACCGCAGAGGUCGAACCCUGAACAGUUGGGGCAAGUAUGGACAAAACAUUCAAGCAUGAUACAGCUCUGAAUUUGGAUUGUGAUCAAAUUUUUGACAUUACAUGGUUUUUUUUUACACAAAACAAAUGCCAAGAUUUUACAAAUCAAUUAAAGAUUUCUUCUUCAAACUUUUUAAAUCUAAAAUUAAAUAGUUGACACAGCAUAGGUUUCUGACACAGAAUGAAUGUGGUCUAAUGAACUUAAAAGGUUUUUUUUGCCUUUGAGCAAUUCACUAUGCUGUUGAAUAUUAAUCCUCUCAAAAAAAUGUUUGAAGAAAUUUUCUUUUUAUUUAUGAAAUCUGAAAUGAGAAAAAUUUAACCCCCCCCCUUUUUUUUUCACAUCCCCGUUUCCCUUUUUCAAAACUGAUAUCAAUUCAAAUUUCUAAUGGAGUUUGCAACAAUAACUACUCAUUUAAAUACAUCAUAAAAUAUUAAGAUGUAAAAAACUGCUUGUUAUCACUG
Molecule: long non-coding RNA, 1970 nt
Filed under: Mytilus galloprovincialis (Mediterranean mussel)
Lineage: Eukaryota; Metazoa; Mollusca; Bivalvia; Mytilida; Mytilidae
Source: RNAcentral